This 468-nucleotide ribosomal RNA is filed under the name uncultured bacterium. RNAcentral's name for it is "partial 16S ribosomal RNA". It matches the Rfam family "Bacterial small subunit ribosomal RNA", at positions 28 to 507 of the family's 1533-position model. The record is from RNAcentral.
GACGAACGCUGGCGGCGUGCUUAACACAUGCAAGUCGAACGGAAAGGCCCUGCUUUUGUGGGGUGCUCGAGUGGCGAACGGGUGAGUAACACGUGAGUAACCUGCCCUUGACUUUGGGAUAACUUCAGGAAACUGGGGCUAAUACCGGAUAGGAGCUCCUGCUGCAUGGUGGGGGUUGGAAAGUUUCGGCGGGUGGGGCUGGACUCGCGGCUUAUCAGCUUGUUGGUGGGGUAGGGGCUUACCAAGGCUUUGGCGGGUAGCCGGCCUGAGAGGGUGACUGGCCACAUUGGGACUAAGAUACGGACCAGACUCCAACGGGGGGCAGCGGUGGGAAAUAUUGCACAGUGAGCGGGAGCCUGAUGCGACGGCGCCGCGUGCGGGAUGACGGCCUUCGGGUUGUAAACCGCUUUCGCCUGUGACGAAGCGUGAGUGACGGUAAUGGGUAAAGAAGCACCGGCUAACUACGUG